Molecule: long non-coding RNA, 714 nt
Organism: Oreochromis niloticus (Nile tilapia)
Lineage: Eukaryota; Metazoa; Chordata; Actinopteri; Cichliformes; Cichlidae
Exons: 3
Source: RefSeq, a predicted model, not a curated record
AAGAGAUGGGCUGGGGGGAGCUGACCACUGGUGUAUUCCAGCUGUGAUCCACUCAACAAAAUUAGACUUCAGUUCUAGUCGCUUCUCAGACAAACUAACUGAAAUCGGAUUCCUUCACAAAGUGGUGCACCGUUUUAAAAACUGGGAAAGCAGCUUACUCUCAUUUCCCUGAUUGUUGAACCAGAGUUUUACAGGGAGGCCUUCAGUAAAAACAAGCAUGUGGGACGUGUUACUGGAGUGGAGGGGCAAGCAAUUUAUCUUGAAGAACAGCAGUGGACAAGAAGAAGAUUAAGUUGAGGCCAGAUUUCAUUUUUGGGCCAGUGCAAGCACACAAGUGGUUCCACAGGCAACAGAAAAUAACUGCUCGGUUAUUUUCUGUUGCCUGGGAAUGUCAAAUACUUCUUUCUGCAGCUCAACUGUUUAGUUCGCUGAUUAAUUUGACGCUGCUAUAGAUGGUUUUUUGGAAAAAGCAAUAGUUUUGUAAGGUUAAAAUCAUAUCUGUCACGCUUCAAAACUCCCGAGAUGUUGCCUGUGACAAGCUGCUGUAAACGUCUGCCCAUAGGGAGGACUAGCAGAAGUGGCGUCUGAAGUCAGCGCUGGAGGAUCACCACCCCGCUGCUGCCUGCUGUGCUACAGAAGCAGAAUGUGGCUGAAGAGUCAGGGGGGCUGAUGAUCACAUCAACCCUAUCAGGAGAGUGCAUGUGCAGAAGGCAG